UACGAAUGGGGCAAGCGUUGUUCGGAAUCACUGGGCUUAAAGCGUGCGCAGGCGGUCAUGAAAGUCAGGAGUGAAAUCCCCGGGCUCAACCCGGGAAUUGCUCUUGAAACUCCAUGACUAGAAUCCCGGAGAGGUUGACAGAAUUCCGAGUGUAGAGGUGAAAUUCGCAGAUAUUCGGAGGAAUACCAGUGGCGUAAGCGGUCAACUGGACGGGUAUUGACGCUCAGGCACGAAAGCGUGGGUAGCAAAC
Molecule: ribosomal RNA, 250 nt
Filed under: uncultured bacterium
Lineage: Bacteria
Description: partial 16S ribosomal RNA
Rfam family: Bacterial small subunit ribosomal RNA
Source: RNAcentral